GGCGGCAGUAGCGCGGUGGUCCCACCUGACCCCAUGCCGAACUCAGAAGUGAAACGCCGUAGCGCCGAUGGUAGUGUAGGGUCUCCCCAUGCGAGAGUAGGGAACUGCCAGAC
This 113-nucleotide ribosomal RNA is filed under the name Shigella sonnei 3226-85. The record is from RNAcentral. Lineage: Bacteria; Pseudomonadati; Pseudomonadota; Gammaproteobacteria; Enterobacterales; Enterobacteriaceae. RNAcentral also lists the same sequence under 1 other name.